GUGAAUCAUCGAAUUUUUGAACGCUAAUUGCACUCUCCUCGGAGAGUAUGUCUGUUUGAGGGUCAGCCUAUAAAAAAUCGACAUAGUUGCUGUUUAACGGUGACGUUCGUCGGAAAUUGGGCCAUCUUAAAUCCUUUUGGGUUUUAAGCGACUUAAAAUUUUCUUUUUGGUUCUAUGAACGUUCCUAAGAUUUAUUUCUUUAUACGUUUAAGGUAUCGAUUUUUAUUAGACGUGACCAUCAUAUCGGAUCGCGUCCAUAAUCUUU
Molecule: unclassified non-coding RNA, 265 nt
Filed under: Glomus sp.
Lineage: Eukaryota; Fungi; Glomeromycota; Glomeromycetes; Glomerales; Glomeraceae
Description: partial contains 5.8S ribosomal RNA and internal transcribed spacer 2
Rfam family: 5.8S ribosomal RNA (bases 1-65)
Source: RNAcentral